AACGGGAUCCAUCAAGCUUGCUUGGUGGUGAGAGUGGCGAACGGGUGAGUAAUGCGUGACCGACCUGCCCCAUGCUCCGGAAUAGCUCCUGGAAACGGGUGGUAAUGCCGGAUGUUCCACAUGAUCGCAUGUGAUUGUGGGAAAGAUUUCAUCGGCGUGGGAUGGGGUCGCGUCCUAUCAGCUUGUUGGUGAGGUAACGGCUCACCAAGGCUUCGACGGGUAGCCGGCCUGAGAGGGCGACCGGCCACAUUGGGACUGAGAUACGGCCCAGACUCCUACGGGAGGCAGCAGUGGGGAAUAUUGCACAAUGGGCGCAAGCCUGAUGCAGCGACGCCGCGUGAGGGAUGGAGGCCUUCGGGUUGUAAACCUCUUUUGUUUGGGAGCAAGCCUUCGGGUGAGUGUACCUUUCGAAUAAGCGCCGGCUAACUACGUGCCAGCAGCCGCGGUAAUACGUAGGGCGCAAGCGUUAUCCGGAUUUAUUGGGCGUAAAGGGCUCGUAGGCGGCUCGUCGCGUCCGGUGUGAAAGUCCAUCGCUUAACGGUGGAUCUGCGCCGGGUACGGGCGGGCUGGAGUGCGGUAGGGGAGACUGGAAUUCCCGGUGUAACGGUGGAAUGUGUAGAUAUCGGGAAGAACACCGAUGGCGAAGGCAGGUCUCUGGGCCG
RNAcentral lists this ribosomal RNA (662 nucleotides) under Bifidobacterium bifidum. RNAcentral describes it as "bacterial SSU rRNA". It matches the Rfam family "Bacterial small subunit ribosomal RNA", at positions 65 to 736 of the family's 1533-position model. The record is from RNAcentral. Lineage: Bacteria; Bacillati; Actinomycetota; Actinomycetes; Bifidobacteriales; Bifidobacteriaceae.